UUACUUCAUUUGACGUGCCUCGGUUGUGCCGUCAAAGCGAGAUUUCUCGGCGGGCAUUCAGUUCCGUACGAUACUGCGCGUUCAACCGCCGCGGCAGGAUAAUACCGCGGCGGAUUUUGCCAAUCAUAUUUGAAGAAUGCAGACUAUGAGACGGACCCCUCAGUUUGAGUGCAAAGAACCUCCGCCUACAGCAGUCCGCAGUGCUUUCCUUGAAACUAUCUUCCAAGACUGUUGCAUCUGGACGUGACGAGGGUGAUGAAUUCAUGGAAGUGGAAGGAACAGGAGAGGAAGACAUCUGGCAAUGGUCAUGACAGUUGUCCGUCAGGAAUCUACAGGUGGUGAGCAUGCGUAAGGAAUUGACAUAUCUCAAUACAACUUAGACCUGCCUGUUGCACAUGAGAUGUGUGACUCUACUUACACACACAAGCUUCUGCAGGUUCGAUGCAUGUAUAUUUUGAAACAUGAAAGACAGAGUGCUAAAAAUAUAUCUGAGGUGAAAAAUUGAGCAGUUCACUGCAGUAAUUCUAUAGAUUUAUUUUCAGCAUUUUGGGAAAAAUAUAGUGAUGGCAAGAUUACCUGUGUUGUACUGCCAGACCAUCUGCCGUUGGAGUUCCAUGUCCCAGUUAUUAUAUAUAAUAGCUGUUUGAGGUUAUUACAUAUUUAUUAUGCAAGUUUUGUACCUGUGAGUUCUUGUAAAUGUGCUCUGUGGUGAUCAUACUGGACAGAGAGCUAUGCCUGUAUAAUAACAGUGACUAAUGUUCUCCUGCCCAUAAACCUAUUCCUAGGGUACAUCUGCACCCUUGGAAGUCACUGGAGAGGCGUGUUAGCUUAGCUCAAUUGGUAAGGGCCCUGGAUCGGUAAUACAGAAGAUGUGGAUUCAAGUCCUACUACCGGCUAACCUUUCUAGUGACUGCCUUCUUUCAUCAUUCAUUUCUUAGGCACUUGAUGCUUUGUAUGUAUUUGCCUUUUCUAUGUGUUCCAGUCUCAGAACGUCAACUGCCAUGUUCAAAAGAAGUGGAAAAUGCCUCUGCAAUCUGGAACCCAUCCCAACAUCUCUUAAUCGACAAAGUAGAAUUUGUACAGAACCGCACGGUUUGUUGCUCGUGAUUAUCAUCCUUUUUCCAGCGUCUCAGCCAUUAAAGCCAAACUCUUUCUUACUCCUUUGAUUACCAGAUGAAAGGUAUCACGCCUGGCAUUCUUUCAUAAGUUAUAUUACAGUCACACUCCUCCCCACCCCACUUACUGUCAAUCCCCUCACAAGUUACUUCCAAGACUUGAUGACUCGCACAAAGUACUUGCUCCACCUACACAAACAAAAAAAUUCCUCUACUCUCCGCACCAGCUGAUGGUGUCAAACUGGAAUGACGUUCCUGCCCACAUAGCAUCAGAACAAAAUGUAUCGUCAUUUAUUUCCAAGUGCUAUGAUCGUUUUCAGAUCGAAUGAAUUUCUUUGUGGUGAGUGAACAAAUUUUGUUUGCAUCAUUUUGGUAUUUGUCUUUUUUGGAUAAAAAACCUCCCGCAUUUAUGUAAAUCCCUUCACAAGGGUGUUUAAGUAAACAAAUGAAAUGAAGAACUUCGUGAUACUUUCAUAGUUGGAGCAUUUUUAAUGCAUAUUUUAAAACAGUGGCUGCUAAAAAUGUGUCAGACACCGUUACAAAGGCUGCCGUCUGUAUCAGGUGAAUCAUGAUUUUUCCCAGAAGCCCAAUAAUGUAUAACGCUGCAUCACAUAUGCUAUUUUGGAGCAAUCUCUGCAGACA
Ornithodoros turicata is the source of this 1757-nucleotide long non-coding RNA. RefSeq lists it as uncharacterized. The transcript has 3 exons. Lineage: Eukaryota; Metazoa; Arthropoda; Arachnida; Ixodida; Argasidae. The record is from RefSeq and is a predicted model, not a curated record.